UGCGCCCCGGGCGUGGGCACAGAGGUGCCGAGGGCACAGAGGGAGCGCCCGGCGCUCACAGGGACGAGGUCCUGUUGUCCGCAACGUAGUGGACAGACCUGGGGGCCUUAUGCCAGAGAAGGGCCAACGCUUUGUGGUCUCACCGAAAAUCUUGAAAAACAGAAAGAAAGAAGAAGUCAAUCCACAGAAACCGAAAUAGAAAAGUGGAAUCGGCCAGGGCUGGGGUCAAAGACAUCGGGACAGACUCUGGAGAUGCACAAGCGUCCAGCAUACACAGUGUGAGUGAGGCCCUGGGCUCCGGACUGGCUUUGGGGCGUGAGAUGCGACCCUGGUCGUCCAGGCUCUGCUCCGGAGGGAGGCCAGGCAUCGACGUGGACGCUGCAGUUAAGCAGGAAGGACGCGGAGGAAGACGGAGGAGAACAAGGCACCGCUGCAGGGAGAAGAGGGGCCGCCAGCGCACCCACCAGGCGUGGGCCGAGGCUUCACCGUGAUGGCGGGUCACUGGACGAAGGCUUCCGGGAGCAGGUGUUUGAGCUGGGACAUGAGCAACGGCUGGCACUUUGCUAAAGAGGCGGCCACGUUCGUGGGAUCUCACAGUGCCCAGGCUUCCUGGAGGGCCGCACCGGGCACUGUGGCCACAGUCUCUGUUCUCGGAAGAGGUGAAGUAAAGGGCAGAUGCACACACAGGCCACCCCUUCUCUGGGCGUGAACUGCAAGCCACUUUAGCCGGGACGUCCAACCUGCAGCCCAUGGGCUAGCUAUGAAUGCGGCUCAACGU
Molecule: long non-coding RNA, 778 nt
Organism: Pteronotus mesoamericanus
Lineage: Eukaryota; Metazoa; Chordata; Mammalia; Chiroptera; Mormoopidae
Exons: 3
Source: RefSeq, a predicted model, not a curated record